GAAAGUCCGGGCUUCAUAGGGCAGGAUGCCGGCUAACGGCCGGUGGGGGAAACCCUAAGGAUAGUGCAACAGAAAAUAAACCGCCGAGCAAUCGGUAAGGGUGGAAUGGCGGUGUAAGAGACCACCGCUUGUCUGGUAACAGGCAAGGCUGUGUAAACCCCAUCCGAAGCAAGACCGCAUCGAAGCGUUAUUAGGUUGCCCGCCAAGCUUCAGGUAGGUCGCUUGAUGUGGCUGGUAACAGUCAUACUAGAUAGAUGAUCAUUCUCGACAGAACCCGGCUUAUAGUCCUGCGCCCUCU
This 298-nucleotide RNase P RNA is filed under the name Lachnospiraceae bacterium. RNAcentral describes it as "partial RNase P RNA component class A". It matches the Rfam family "Bacterial RNase P class A", at positions 46 to 367 of the family's 367-position model. From Rfam's summary of the family: Ribonuclease P (RNase P) is a ubiquitous endoribonuclease, found in archaea, bacteria and eukarya as well as chloroplasts and mitochondria. Its best characterised activity is the generation of mature 5'-ends of tRNAs by cleaving the 5'-leader elements of precursor-tRNAs. Lineage: Bacteria; Bacillati; Bacillota; Clostridia; Lachnospirales; Lachnospiraceae. The record is from RNAcentral.